Long non-coding RNA from Oncorhynchus keta (chum salmon), 972 nucleotides. RefSeq lists it as uncharacterized. The transcript is spliced from 4 exons. The record is from RefSeq and is a predicted model, not a curated record. Lineage: Eukaryota; Metazoa; Chordata; Actinopteri; Salmoniformes; Salmonidae.
UGCCUAGUAAAAUAAAGGUCAAAUUUAAAUUUAAAAAAAAAAAUAAAUAAAGACAGCCACUGUGUUUGGUUUUUCUUGCAUGACAUACAGGUUGCUGAGGUAACUGAACGACAUAGAGGUUGCUGAGGUAACUGAACGACAGAGGUUGCUGAGGUAACUGAACGACAGAGGUUGCUGAGGUAACUGAACGACAGAGGUUGCUGAGGUAACUGAACGACAGAGGUUGCUGAGGUAACUGAACGACAGAGGUUGCUGAGGUAACUGAACGACAGAGGUUGCUGAGGUAACUGAACGACAGAGGUUGCUGAGGUAACUGAACGACAGAGGUUGCUGAGGUAACUGAACGACAUAGAGGUUGCUGAGGUAACUGAACGACAUAGAGGUUGCUGAGGUAACUGAACGACAUAGAGGUUGCUGAGGUAACUGAACGACAUAGAGGUUGCUGAGGUAACUGAACGACAUAGAGGUUGCUGAGGUAACUGAACGACAUAGAGUUUGCUGAGGUAACUGAACGACAUAGAGGUUGCUGAGGUAACUGAACGACAUAGAGGUUGCGGAGGUAACUGAACGACAUAGAGGUUGCUGAGGUAACUGAACGACAUACAGGUUGCUGAGGUAACUGAACGACAUAGAGUUUGCUGAGGUAACUGAACGACAGAGGUUGCUGAGGUAACUGAACGACAGAGUUUGCUGAGGUAACUGAACGACAUACAGGUUGCUGAGGUAACUGAACGACAUAGAGGUUGCUGAGGUAACUGAACGACAUAGAGGUUGCUGAGGUAACUGAACGACAUACAGGUUGCUGAGGUAACUGAAAGACAUACAGGUUGCUGAGGUAACUGAACGACAGGGGUUGCUGAGGUAACUGAAAAGUAGUCUCACAAGUCAGACAAUUUGUUUCCAAAAUAAAUGACUGGAAAUCAUAGCUUUGUGAAACUGGUCUACUGAGCAGACAGAGAGAGAAAAACAGAA